GAUGAACGCUGGCGGCGUGCCUAAUACAUGCAAGUCGAGCGAACAGACGAGGAGCUUGCUCCUCUGACGUUAGCGGCGGACGGGGGAGUAACACGUGGAUAACCUACCUAUAAGACUGGGAUAACUUCGGGAAACCGGAGCUAAUACCGGAUAAUAUAUUGAACCGCAUGGUUCAAUAGUGAAAGACGGUUUUGCUUUCACUUAUAGAUGGAUCCGCGCCGCAUUAGCUAGUUGGUAAGGUAACGGCUUACCAAGGCAACGAUGCGUAGCCGACCUGAGAGGGUGAUCGGCCACACUGGAACUGAGACACGGUCCAGACUCCUACGGGAGGCAGCAGUAGGGAAUCUUCCGCAAUGGGCGAAAGCUUGACGGAGCAACGCCGCGUGAGUGAUGAAGGUCUUCGGAUCGUAAAACUCUGUUAUUAGGGAAGAACAAAUGUGUAAGUAACUAUGCACGUCUUGACGGUACCUAAUCAGAAAGCCACGGCUAACUACGUG
This 497-nucleotide ribosomal RNA is filed under the name uncultured bacterium. RNAcentral describes it as "partial 16S ribosomal RNA". It matches the Rfam family "Bacterial small subunit ribosomal RNA", at positions 28 to 507 of the family's 1533-position model. The record is from RNAcentral.